AAAACACUAGCAGAGUUUCGUCACAUUAAAAUAACAAUAUUAGUAAAACAUAGGAAAAUGAUUCACAUGGCACAUAUAAUUGCAAUGUGUAUAAGCUUUGCUGAAUCAGCAUCCAAACGACUAUGCAAGAAAAUAGUAUUUCAAGAAAACAUUAGUGACGCACCAUAUCCGCACAACCACAAUAAGAAUUCAAGGACUAUAUUUUCACCAAGUUCAUGAUUUGUUCAGAUGAAGCCUACUAGUUAGAACAUUUGAUGCGAUCAAGAAGUCAGAACCAGCAUUAAACAGAAGAAAUAUAAUGAUUCAAAAUUAAAAUUGUUUGAAUAGUGCAUUUAGGAAGUUGUGAGUUGUGACUCAGACAAAGCCAAU
RNAcentral lists this unclassified non-coding RNA (369 nucleotides) under Hevea brasiliensis (rubber tree). The record is from RNAcentral. Lineage: Eukaryota; Viridiplantae; Streptophyta; Magnoliopsida; Malpighiales; Euphorbiaceae.